Molecule: ribosomal RNA, 543 nt
Filed under: Stenotrophomonas sp.
Lineage: Bacteria; Pseudomonadati; Pseudomonadota; Gammaproteobacteria; Lysobacterales; Lysobacteraceae
Description: bacterial SSU rRNA
Rfam family: Bacterial small subunit ribosomal RNA
Source: RNAcentral
GAAUACAUCGGAAUCUACUUUUUCGUGGGGGAUAACGAAGGGAAACUUACGCUAAUACCGCAUACGACCUACGGGUGAAAGCAGGGGAUCUUCGGACCUUGCGCGAUUGAAUGAGCCGAUGUCGGAUUAGCUAGUUGGCGGGGUAAAGGCCCACCAAGGCGACGAUCCGUAGCUGGUCUGAGAGGAUGAUCAGCCACACUGGAACUGAGACACGGUCCAGACUCCUACGGGAGGCAGCAGUGGGGAAUAUUGGACAAUGGGCGCAAGCCUGAUCCAGCCAUACCGCGUGGGUGAAGAAGGCCUUCGGGUUGUAAAGCCCUUUUGUUGGGAAAGAAAUCCAGCUGGUUAAUACCCGGUUUUUUUUUUUUGUACCCAAAGAAUAAGCACCGGCUAACUUCGUGCCAGCAGCCGCGGUAAUACGAAGGGUGCAAGCGUUACUCGGAAUUACUGGGCGUAAAGCGUGCGUAGGUGGUCGGUUUAAGUCUGUUGUGAAAGCCCUGGGCUCAACCUGGGAACUGCAGUGGAAACUGGACGACUAGAGUG